This 253-nucleotide ribosomal RNA is filed under the name uncultured bacterium. RNAcentral describes it as "partial 16S ribosomal RNA". It matches the Rfam family "Bacterial small subunit ribosomal RNA", at positions 524 to 776 of the family's 1533-position model. The record is from RNAcentral.
UACGAAGGGGGCUAGCGUUGCUCGGAAUUACUGGGCGUAAAGGGCGCGUAGGCUGCACUGUUAGUCAGGCGUGAAAGUCCUGGGCUCAACCUGGGAACUGCGCUUGAUACGGCAGAGCUAGAGGAUGGAAGAGGCUCGCGGAAUUCCCAGUGUAGAGGUGAAAUUCGUAGAUAUUGGGAAGAACACCGGUGGCGAAGGCGGCGAGCUGGUCCAUUACUGACGCUGAGGCGCGACAGCGUGGGGAGCAAACAGG